AGGUAAUAAUUUAUAAUAGAAUAUUUAAUUUGCAUUUAAAAAGAACAUAGGUUUACC
Molecule: transfer RNA, 57 nt
Filed under: Parhyale hawaiensis
Lineage: Eukaryota; Metazoa; Arthropoda; Malacostraca; Amphipoda; Hyalidae
Description: tRNA-Ala
Source: RNAcentral